Oncorhynchus tshawytscha (Chinook salmon) is the source of this 1053-nucleotide long non-coding RNA. The record is from Ensembl. Lineage: Eukaryota; Metazoa; Chordata; Actinopteri; Salmoniformes; Salmonidae.
GGGGGGAUAGACGGAUCAGAGAGAGGAUAGACAGACAUGGAUGAGAGAGAGAGGAUAGACAUGAGAGAGAGAGAGGAUAGACAUGGGAGAGAGAGAGGAGAUAGACAUGGGAGAGAGAGAGAGGAUAGACAUGGGAGAGAGAGAGAGGAUAGACAUGGGAGAGAGAGAGAGAGGAUAGACAUGGGAGAGAGAGAGAGGAUAGACAUGGGGAGAGAGAGAGGAUAGACAUGGGAGAGAGAGAGGAUAGACAUGGGAGAGAGAGAGAGGAUAGACAUGGGAGAGAGAGAGAGGAUAGACAUGGGAGAGAGAGAGGAUAGACAUGGGAGAGAGAGAGAGGAUAGACAUGGGAGAGAGAGAGAGGAUAGACAUGGGAGGGAGAGAUAGACAGACAUGGGAGAGAGAGAGAGAGGAUAGACAGACAUGGGAGAGAGAGAGGAUAGACAGACAUGGGAGAGAGAGAGAGGAUAGACAUGGGAGAGAGAGAGAGAUGAUAGACAUGGGAGAGAGAGAGAGAUGAUAGACAUGGGAGAGAGAGAUGAUAGACAUGGGAGAGAGAGAUGAUAGACAUGGGAGAGAGAGAGGAUAGACAUGGGAGAGAGAGAGAGGAUAGACAUGGGAGAGAGAGAGAGGAUAGACAUGGGAGAGAGAGAGAGGAUAGACAUGGGAGAGAGAGAGAGAUGAUAGACAUGGGAGAGAGAGAGAGAUGAUAGACAUGGGAGAGAGAGAUGAUAGACAUGGGAGAGAGAGAGAGAGACAGAGAGAGAGGAUAGACAUGGGAGAGAGUGAGGAUAGGCAUGGGACAGAGUGAGGAUAGACAUGGGAGAGAGUGAGGAUAGGCAUGGGACAGAGUGAGGAUAGACAUGGGAGAGAGAGAGGAUAGACAGACAUGGGAGAGAGAGAGGAUAGACAGACAUGGGAGAGAGAGAGGAUAGACAGACAUGGGGAGAGAGAGAGGAUAGACAGACAUGGGAGAGAGAGAGGAUAGACAGACAUGGGGAGAGAGAGGAUAGACAGACAUGGGAGAGAGAGAGGAUAGACAUGGGAGAGAGAGAG